RNAcentral lists this ribosomal RNA (1383 nucleotides) under Chaetothyriales sp. A576. Its description in RNAcentral is "LSU rRNA". It matches the Rfam family "Eukaryotic large subunit ribosomal RNA", at positions 34 to 1442 of the family's 3401-position model. RNAcentral also lists the same sequence under 1 other name. Lineage: Eukaryota; Fungi; Ascomycota; Eurotiomycetes; Chaetothyriales. The record is from RNAcentral.
UUAAGCAUAUCAAUAAGCGGAGGAAAAGAAACCAACAGGGAUUGCCCUAGUAACGGCGAGUGAAGCGGCAAAAGCUCAAAUUUGAAAUCUGGCUUCGGCCCGAGUUGUAAUUUGUAGAGGAUGUUUCGGGCACCGCCCCGGCGUAAGUCCCUUGGAACAGGGCGUCAUAGAGGGUGAGAAUCCCGUCUGGCGUCGUGGUAGGGCCCAUGUGAAACUCCUUCGACGAGUCGAGUUGUUUGGGAAUGCAGCUCAAAAUGGGUGGUAAAUUUCAUCUAAAGCUAAAUACUGGCCAGAGACCGAUAGCGCACAAGUAGAGUGAUCGAAAGAUGAAAAGCACUUUGAAAAGAGAGUUAAACAGUAUGUGAAAUUGUUGAAAGGGAAGCGCUUACAACCAGACUUGAGCCCGUCGGUUCCCCCUCGCUUCUGCGUGGGCUACUCCGGCGGGUCCAGGCCAACAUCGGUUCGGGUGGCUGGUCAAAGGCCCCGGGAAUGUACCUCACCUUCGGGUUAGGCUUAUAGCCCGGGGUGUCAUGCGGCCUACCUGGACCGAGGAACGCGCUUCGGCUCGGAUGUUGGCGUAAUGGUUGUCAGCGACCCGUCUUGAAACACGGACCAAGGAGUCGAAGAGCUAUGCGAGUGUUUGGGUGUCAAACCCGUACGCGUAAUGAAAGUGAACGGAGGUAGGAAGCUUCGGCUGCGCUAUCGACCGAUCCUGAUGUUCUCGGAUGGAUUUGAGUAAGAGCAUAACUCUCCGGACCCGAAAGAUGGUGAACUAUGCCUGAAUAGGGUGAAGCCAGAGGAAACUCUGGUGGAGGCUCGCAGCGGUUCUGACGUGCAAAUCGAUCGUCAAAUUUGGGUAUAGGGGCGAAAGACUAAUCGAACCAUCUGGUAGCUGGUUCCUGCCGAAGUUUCCCUCAGGAUAGCAGUAACGUUUUCAGUUUUAUGAGGUAAAGCGAAUGAUUAGAGGCCUUGGGGUUGAAACAACCUUAACCUAUUCUCAAACUUUAAAUAUGUAAGAAGUCCUUGUUACUUAGUUGAACGUGGACAUUUGAAUGUAUCGUUACUAGUGGGCCAUUUUUGGUAAGCAGAACUGGCGAUGCGGGAUGAACCGAACGUGAGGUUAAGGUGCCGGACUGCACGCUCAUCAGACACCACAAAAGGUGUCAAUGCAUCUAGACAGCCGGACGGUGGCCAUGGAAGUCGGAAUCCGCUUAGGAGUGUGUAACAACUCACCGGCCGAAUGCAUUGGCCCUGAAAAUGGAUGGCGCUUAAGCGUGCGACCUAUACCUCGCCGUCAGGGUUGACAUGAUGCCCUGACGAGUAGGCAGGCGUGGAGGUUUGUGACGAAGCCUUGGGGGUGACCCCGGGUCGAACAACCUCUAG